CCUACGGGAGGCAGCAGUGAGGAAUAUUGGUCAAUGGACGAGAGUCUGAACCAGCCAAGUAGCGUGAAGGAUGACUGCCCUAUGGGUUGUAAACUUCUUUUAUAUGGGAAUAAAAUGUUCCACGUGUGGGAUUUUGUAUGUACCCUAUGAAUAAGGAUCGGCUAACUCCGUGCCAGCAGCCGCGGUAAUACGGAGGAUCCGAGCGUUAUCCGGAUUUAUUGGGGUUAAAGGGAGCGUAGGUGGAUUGUUAACUCAGUUGUGAAAGUUUGCGGCUCAACCGUAAAAUUGCAGUUGAAACUGGCAGUCUUGAGUACAGUAGAGGUGAGCGGAAUUCGUGGUGUAGCGGUGAAAUGCUUAGAUAUCACGAAGAACUCCGAUGGCGAAGGCAGCUCACUGGACUGCAACUGACACUGAGGCUCGAAAGCGUGGGGAGCAAACAGGAUUAGAUACCCGAGUAGUC
Molecule: ribosomal RNA, 460 nt
Filed under: uncultured bacterium
Lineage: Bacteria
Description: partial 16S ribosomal RNA
Rfam family: Bacterial small subunit ribosomal RNA
Source: RNAcentral